Molecule: ribosomal RNA, 1377 nt
Filed under: Weissella confusa
Lineage: Bacteria; Bacillati; Bacillota; Bacilli; Lactobacillales; Lactobacillaceae
Description: bacterial SSU rRNA
Rfam family: Bacterial small subunit ribosomal RNA
Source: RNAcentral
CAGGAUGAACGCUGGCGGCGUGCCUAAUACAUGCAAGUCGAACGCUUUGUGGUUCAACUGAUUUGAAGAGCUUGCUCAGAUAUGACGAUGGACAUUGCAAAGAGUGGCGAACGGGUGAGUAACACGUGGGAAACCUACCUCUUAGCAGGGGAUAACAUUUGGAAACAGAUGCUAAUACCGUAUAACAAUGACAACCGCAUGGUUGUUAUUUAAAAGAUGGUUCUGCUAUCACUAAGAGAUGGUCCCGCGGUGCAUUAGCUAGUUGGUAAGGUAAUGGCUUACCAAGGCGAUGAUGCAUAGCCGAGUUGAGAGACUGAUCGGCCACAAUGGGACUGAGACACGGCCCAUACUCCUACGGGAGGCAGCAGUAGGGAAUCUUCCACAAUGGGCGAAAGCCUGAUGGAGCAACGCCGCGUGUGUGAUGAAGGGUUUCGGCUCGUAAAACACUGUUGUAAGAGAAGAAUGACAUUGAGAGUAACUGUUCAAUGUGUGACGGUAUCUUACCAGAAAGGAACGGCUAAAUACGUGCCAGCAGCCGCGGUAAUACGUAUGUUCCAAGCGUUAUCCGGAUUUAUUGGGCGUAAAGCGAGCGCAGACGGUUAUUUAAGUCUGAAGUGAAAGCCCUCAGCUCAACUGAGGAAUUGCUUUGGAAACUGGAUGACUUGAGUGCAGUAGAGGAAAGUGGAACUCCAUGUGUAGCGGUGAAAUGCGUAGAUAUAUGGAAGAACACCAGUGGCGAAGGCGGCUUUCUGGACUGUAACUGACGUUGAGGCUCGAAAGUGUGGGUAGCAAACAGGAUUAGAUACCCUGGUAGUCCACACCGUAAACGAUGAGUGCUAGGUGUUUGAGGGUUUCCGCCCUUAAGUGCCGCAGCUAACGCAUUAAGCACUCCGCCUGGGGAGUACGACCGCAAGGUUGAAACUCAAAGGAAUUGACGGGGACCCGCACAAGCGGUGGAGCAUGUGGUUUAAUUCGAAGCAACGCGAAGAACCUUACCAGGUCUUGACAUCCCUUGACAACUCCAGAGAUGGAGCGUUCCCUUCGGGGACAAGGUGACAGGUGGUGCAUGGUUGUCGUCAGCUCGUGUCGUGAGAUGUUGGGUUAAGUCCCGCAACGAGCGCAACCCUUAUUACUAGUUGCCAGCAUUCAGUUGGGCACUCUAGUGAGACUGCCGGUGACAAACCGGAGGAAGGUGGGGAUGACGUCAAAUCAUCAUGCCCCUUAUGACCUGGGCUACACACGUGCUACAAUGGCGUAUACAACGAGUUGCCAACCCGCGAGGGUGAGCUAAUCUCUUAAAGUACGUCUCAGUUCGGAUUGUAGGCUGCAACUCGCCUACAUGAAGUCGGAAUCGCUAGUAAUCGCGGAUCAGCACGC